RNAcentral lists this ribosomal RNA (403 nucleotides) under Verrucomicrobiota bacterium. RNAcentral describes it as "Verrucomicrobia bacterium partial 16S ribosomal RNA". It matches the Rfam family "Bacterial small subunit ribosomal RNA", at positions 355 to 776 of the family's 1533-position model. Lineage: Bacteria; Pseudomonadati; Verrucomicrobiota. The record is from RNAcentral.
UGGGGAAUAUUGCACAAUGGGCGCAAGCCUGAUGCAGCAACGCCGCGUGAACGAUGAAGGUCUUCGGUUUGUAAAGUUUUGUUGCAGGGGAAGAUAAUGACGGUACCCUGUGAGGAAGCCUCGGCUAACUACGUGCCAGCAGCCGCGGUAAUACGUAGGGGGCUAGCGUUAUCCGGAUUUACUGGGCGUAAAGGGUGCGUAGGUGGUCUUUCAAGUCGGUGGUUAAAGGCUACGGCUCAACCGUAGUGAGCCCCCGAAAAUGGAAGAAUUGAGUGAAGGAGAGGAAAGUGGAAUAACCAGUGUAGCGGUGAAAUGCGUAGAUAUUGGGAGGAACACCAGUAGCGAAGACGGCUUUCUAGACUGCAACUAACACUGAGGCACGAAAGCGGGGGUAGCAAACAGG